Molecule: ribosomal RNA, 724 nt
Filed under: uncultured bacterium
Lineage: Bacteria
Description: bacterial SSU rRNA
Rfam family: Bacterial small subunit ribosomal RNA
Source: RNAcentral
GAUGAACGCUGACAGAAUGCUUAACACAUGCAAGUCUACUUGAUCCUUCGGGUGAUGGUGGCGGACGGGUGAGUAACGCGUAAAGAACUUGCCCUGCAGUCUGGGACAACAUUUGGAAACGAAUGCUAAUACCGGAUAUUAUGUGAGUUUCGCAUGAAAUUCAUAUGAAAGCUAUAUGCGCUGCAGGAGAGCUUUGCGUCCUAUUAGCUAGUUGGUGAGGUAACGGCUCACCAAGGCGAUGAUAGGUAGCCGGCCUGAGAGGGUGAACGGCCACAAGGGGACUGAGACACGGCCCUUACUCCUACGGGAGGCAGCAGUGGGGAAUAUUGGACAAUGGACCAAAAGUCUGAUCCAGCAAUUCUGUGUGCACGAUGAAGUUUUUCGGAAUGUAAAGUGCUUUCAGUUGGGACGAAGUAAGUGACGGUACCAACAGAAGAAGCGACGGCUAAAUACGUGCCAGCAGCCGCGGUAAUACGUAUGUCACAAGCGUUAUCCGGAUUUAUUGGGCGUAAAGCGCGUCUAGGCGGUUUGGUAAGUCUGAUGUGAAAAUGCGGGGCUCAACUCCGUAUUGCGUUGGAAACUGCCAAACUAGAGUACUGGAGAGGUGGGCGGAACUACAAGUGUAGAGGUGAAAUUCGUAGAUAUUUGUAGGAAUGCCGAUGGGGAAGCCAGCCCACUGGACAGAUACUGACGCUAAAGCGCGAAAGCGUGGGUAGCAAACAGG